This 497-nucleotide ribosomal RNA is filed under the name uncultured bacterium. RNAcentral's name for it is "partial 16S ribosomal RNA". It matches the Rfam family "Bacterial small subunit ribosomal RNA", at positions 28 to 507 of the family's 1533-position model. The record is from RNAcentral.
GACGAACGCUGGCGGCGUGCCUAAUACAUGCAAGUUGAGCGCUGAAGGUUGGUACUUGUACCAACUGGAUGAGCAGCGAACGGGUGAGUAACGCGUGGGGAAUCUGCCUUUGAGCGGGGGACAACAUUUGGAAACGAAUGCUAAUACCGCAUAAAAACUUUAAACACAGGUUUUAAGUUUUAAAGAUGCAAUGGCAUCACUCAAAGAUGAUCCCGCUUUGUAUUAGCUAGUUGGUGAGGUAAAGGCUCACCAAGGCGAUGAUACGUAGCCGACCUGAGAGGGUGAUCGGCCACAUUGGGACUGAGACACGGCCCAAACUCCUACGGGAGGCAGCAGUAGGGAAUCUUCGGCAAUGGACGAAAGUCUGACCGAGCAACGCCGCGUGAGUGAAGAAGGUUUUCGGAUCGUAAAACUCUGUUGGUAGAGAAGAACGUUGGUGAGAGUGGAAAGCUCAUCAAGUGACGGUAACUACCCAGAAAGGGACGGCUAACUACGUG